RNAcentral lists this small RNA (108 nucleotides) under Flavobacteriaceae bacterium. Its description in RNAcentral is "6S RNA". It matches the Rfam family "6S-Flavo RNA". The record is from RNAcentral. Lineage: Bacteria; Pseudomonadati; Bacteroidota; Flavobacteriia; Flavobacteriales; Flavobacteriaceae.
ACUCAACACGAUUUAUUUAAAAAGGGUGAGUUUUAGUUGCAAGAGCGUGCCAUAAUUUCGUGGAUUAUCGACCAACUAGUUAGCCCUAAACUUGUUUACAUGGAGUUU